This 1530-nucleotide ribosomal RNA is filed under the name Bordetella pertussis. Its description in RNAcentral is "bacterial SSU rRNA". It matches the Rfam family "Bacterial small subunit ribosomal RNA". Lineage: Bacteria; Pseudomonadati; Pseudomonadota; Betaproteobacteria; Burkholderiales; Alcaligenaceae. The record is from RNAcentral.
GAACUGAAGAGUUUGAUCCUGGCUCAGAUUGAACGCUGGCGGGAUGCUUUACACAUGCAAGUCGGACGGCAGCACGGGCUUCGGCCUGGUGGCGAGUGGCGAACGGGUGAGUAAUGUAUCGGAACGUGCCCAGUAGCGGGGGAUAACUACGCGAAAGCGUGGCUAAUACCGCAUACGCCCUACGGGGGAAAGCGGGGGACCUUCGGGCCUCGCACUAUUGGAGCGGCCGAUAUCGGAUUAGCUAGUUGGUGGGGUAACGGCCUACCAAGGCGACGAUCCGUAGCUGGUUUGAGAGGACGACCAGCCACACUGGGACUGAGACACGGCCCAGACUCCUACGGGAGGCAGCAGUGGGGAAUUUUGGACAAUGGGGGCAACCCUGAUCCAGCCAUCCCGCGUGUGCGAUGAAGGCCUUCGGGUUGUAAAGCACUUUUGGCAGGAAAGAAACGGCACGGGCUAAUAUCCUGUGCAACUGACGGUACCUGCAGAAUAAGCACCGGCUAACUACGUGCCAGCAGCCGCGGUAAUACGUAGGGUGCAAGCGUUAAUCGGAAUUACUGGGCGUAAAGCGUGCGCAGGCGGUUCGGAAAGAAAGAUGUGAAAUCCCAGGGCUUAACCUUGGAACUGCAUUUUUAACUACCGGGCUAGAGUGUGUCAGAGGGGGUGGAAUUCCGCGUGUAGCAGUGAAAUGCGUAGAUAUGCGGAGGAACACCGAUGGCGAAGGCAGCCUCCUGGGAUAACACUGACGCUCAUGCACGAAAGUGUGGGGAGCAAACAGGAUUAGAUACCCUGGUAGUCCACGCCCUAAACGAUGUCAACUAGCUGUUGGGGCCUUCGGGCCUUGGUAGCGCAGCUAACGCGUGAAGUUGACCGCCUGGGGAGUACGGUCGCAAGAUUAAAACUCAAAGGAAUUGACGGGGACCCGCACAAGCGGUGGAUGAUGUGGAUUAAUUCGAUGCAACGCGAAAAACCUUACCUACCCUUGACAUGUCUGGAAUCCCGAAGAGAUUUGGGAGUGCUCGCAAGAGAACCGGAACACAGGUGCUGCAUGGCUGUCGUCAGCUCGUGUCGUGAGAUGUUGGGUUAAGUCCCGCAACGAGCGCAACCCUUGUCAUUAGUUGCUACGAAAGGGCACUCUAAUGAGACUGCCGGUGACAAACCGGAGGAAGGUGGGGAUGACGUCAAGUCCUCAUGGCCCUUAUGGGUAGGGCUUCACACGUCAUACAAUGGUCGGGACAGAGGGUUGCCAACCCGCGAGGGGGAGCCAAUCCCAGAAACCCGGUCGUAGUCCGGAUCGCAGUCUGCAACUCGACUGCGUGAAGUCGGAAUCGCUAGUAAUCGCGGAUCAGCAUGUCGCGGUGAAUACGUUCCCGGGUCUUGUACACACCGCCCGUCACACCAUGGGAGUGGGUUUUACCAGAAGUAGUUAGCCUAACCGCAAGGGGGGCGAUUACCACGGUAGGAUUCAUGACUGGGGUGAAGUCGUAACAAGGUAGCCGUAUCGGAAGGUGCGGCUGGAUCACCUCCUUU